Molecule: unclassified non-coding RNA, 400 nt
Filed under: uncultured Enterobacteriaceae bacterium
Lineage: Bacteria; Pseudomonadati; Pseudomonadota; Gammaproteobacteria; Enterobacterales; Enterobacteriaceae
Description: contains 16S-23S intergenic spacer region
Source: RNAcentral
GCCGUCAAUUCCUUUGAGUUUUAACCUUGCGGCCGUACUCCCCAGGCGGUCGACUUAACGCGUUAGCUCCGGAAGCCACUCCUCAAGGGAACAACCUCCAAGUCGACAUCGUUUACGGCGUGGACUACCAGGGUAUCUAAUCCUGUUUGCUCCCCACGCUUUCGCACCUGAGCGUCAGUCUUCGUCCAGGGGGCCGCCUUCGCCACCGGUAUUCCUCCAGAUCUCUACGCAUUUCACCGCUACACCUGGAAUUCUACCCCCCUCUACGAGACUCAAGCCUGCCAGUUUCAAAUGCAGUUCCCAGGUUAAGCCCGGGGAUUUCACAUCUGACUUAACAGACCGCCUGCGUGCGCUUUACGCCCAGUAAUUCCGAUUAACGCUUGCACCCUCCGUAUUACCG